RNAcentral lists this ribosomal RNA (491 nucleotides) under uncultured bacterium. Its description in RNAcentral is "partial 16S ribosomal RNA". It matches the Rfam family "Bacterial small subunit ribosomal RNA", at positions 29 to 506 of the family's 1533-position model. The record is from RNAcentral.
AGUGAACGCUGGCGGUAGGCCUAACACAUGCAAGUCGAACGGCCGCACAGUAAGAGCUUGCUCUUACGGGUGGCGAGUGGCGGACGGGUGAGGAAUACAUCGGAAUCUACUUUUUCGUGGGGGAUAACGUAGGGAAACUUACGCUAAUACCGCAUACGACCUACGGGUGAAAGCAGGGGAUCUUCGGACCUUGCGCGAUUGAAUGAGCCGAUGUCGGAUUAGCUAGUUGGCGGGGUAAAGGCCCACCCAGGCGACGAUCCGUAGCGGGUCUGAGAGGAUGAUCAGCCACACUGGAACUGAGACACGGUCCAGACUCCUACGGGAGGCAGCAGUGGGGAAUAUUGGACAAUGGGCGCAAGCCUGAGCCAGCCAUACCGCGGGGGUGAAGAAGGCCUUCGGGUUGUAAAGCCCUUUUGUUGGGAAAGAAAAGCAGCAGGUUAAUACCCCGCUGUUCUGACGGUACCCAAAGAAUAAACACCGGCUAACUUCGU